GUUAUAAUAACUAGGAGAGAGACACUCUUCAAACAUAAAUGACUCUAUCUCCUCCCACGCAUCACACAUGCCAACAAACCACCACUGCCACAACACACCGUUACAAACCCACAAGCCACCAUGGUUCUUUCCCGAUCCCUUGAACUCCAGCAUGAUCUUAGAACCCAGGAAGUUGAAGUUCAUGUACACUUCCGGAAUUACAUUUUCGCAAAUCAAAGAACUCGAUCCUCUUCCAACAUGCUUGUAAGGGAGUUGACAACAGUGCAAUGUAUGCAUUCUCUUCAUCCAAUGCAGUUUUAGAUCCGACCCUUCCUCUUCUUUCUCCUUUUCUUUUUUUUUUUUUCUUUUUCAACAAAGACUUCUCCCCUAAGCGCAUGGAAUAGAAAAAAGAGACACCAGUGUGUCAAAAGAGGGAAUGACAGUGACGAUGCCGCAAGCUCAAAAGAAAAAGAAAUGAUAGAGGUGGACCGUCUUCCCAUAUGGCGGCCGGAAAUCGCCAAUUAUGGUGAUUCACGAAUUAUUGUUCUAAUUUGUUGGUGGGUGUAACUCUUUAAGAAAGUCUACUUUUAGGUGAGAUUCAAGAAGUCAAUACUCAAUACAGACCUGCUUAUCUUGUAGUCAAAGAAUAUAUUAAGACAGCUUUGUUAUAUGUCAGGGAACAUGAAGGGCCUCCAGAGCAUAGGCCAGUGAUGGAUCGUAAGCCAAAUAAAAAAUACUCAAGUUUGAUGAUGGGGAAACAAAAGUAGUAAAGGCAGCAAAAAUAAGUAUUUGAGAUUUUUGGUUGUGAAAAAAACAUAAGCACUUUUUUUUUAUUUGUUUAUAUGUUCUUGAUUUGUUUUGAAAAAUGAUUAAUUAUAAUUAUAAACAUUUAUAUAAAAUUUAAGAUUUAUACAUAUAUUUAUUAAGUAAAUUAUACUUUUGAAAAAUUGUACCCCCAAGUCAUCUAAUCCUGAGUUUGUCCCUAAUUGUGUGUUUGUGUCUAAGAGAACCUAAUUAAGGAAAUUAUCUUUAGGAGUCUAAUUUGAGUAAUUAUCUUUAGGGUUUAAUUAGAAAAUUUAUUUAUAGUGUAACAAUUAAAGUAAUUAUCUUUUGGGAUCAUGAUAGAAUAUCUAUUAAACUAAGUAUGCUUAUGAGUCUAAUAAGGAGUUGGAGUAACUACUUUACAACUUUUAACCUUUUAUCUAUUUUUACGUUUUUGAGAGCCUAGAGAGUGUUAAGUGUUUUUUAGAAGUGGAUGACACCGUGAAGACGAAUCAUGAUUAUUGUUUCUUUCCUACGAGUAUGUCUAUGCUAAUCUCUUCUAAGCUUUCUAGUUUUGCUUUGACCAUAAGUGACUAAUCUUCCUAGUCUAGGGAUUAUGACAUUAUGACGCAAGUGUCUAAUUGUACUUUUUCCUUAGUUCUUAAUGAAAUUAUGUUUGGUAGAUUUAAGAGCUUAAUGUUUUAUAUCAAACAACAUGAUCAA
Glycine soja is the source of this 1464-nucleotide long non-coding RNA. RefSeq lists it as uncharacterized. The record is from RefSeq and is a predicted model, not a curated record. NCBI's taxonomy places the organism in Eukaryota, Viridiplantae, Streptophyta, Magnoliopsida, Fabales, Fabaceae. The transcript has 3 exons.